CCGGGCCGACGGUGGCUGCGCAGCUGCUGGGCCCGGGGGGUUGGGUCUGCUCGUCUGCGUCCGCGGUGCUCUCUGUCCAGUCCUCGUGUUCACCGCCUCAAGUGCGGCGAGGAGGUUGGACAGAUGCUGAGAUGCCCGCGCACGCCGACGAGGUCCCCCAGCUCCCCGGCCAGCAUCAGCCAGUCAGUGCUUGUGAUGCUAUUUUUUCCUGCUCCGUGCACCAACACGUGGGAGGAAUCAGCUCUCUAAGAACGAAUGACUGGCGAGACUAUUUGGUAGGAGUAUUCACUAAAGCUGGUCUUGGGAAGAUAUCAGUCAGCUUGUUGUAUGAGAAGACAUAAGAUGCCGUGGUAACUAAG
Non-coding RNA from Lolium perenne, 359 nucleotides. The record is from RefSeq and is a predicted model, not a curated record. Lineage: Eukaryota; Viridiplantae; Streptophyta; Magnoliopsida; Poales; Poaceae.